RNAcentral lists this ribosomal RNA (93 nucleotides) under Oleibacter sp. HI0075. Lineage: Bacteria; Pseudomonadati; Pseudomonadota; Gammaproteobacteria; Oceanospirillales; Oceanospirillaceae. The record is from RNAcentral.
ACCACCUGAAUCCAUUCCGAACUCAGAAGUGAAACGCAGCAUCGCCGAUGGUAGUGUGGGGUCUCCCCAUGUGAGAGUAGGUCAUCGUCAAGC